This 253-nucleotide ribosomal RNA is filed under the name uncultured bacterium. Its description in RNAcentral is "partial 16S ribosomal RNA". It matches the Rfam family "Bacterial small subunit ribosomal RNA", at positions 524 to 776 of the family's 1533-position model. The record is from RNAcentral.
AACGUAGGUCCCGAGCGUUAUCCGGAUUUACUGGGCGUAAAGGGCGUUCAGGCGGUGGGCUAAGUCAGGCAUGAAAUCUCACGGCUCAACCGAGGAACUGCGACGGAUACUGCUUGGCUUGAGUCCCGGAGAGGGUAGCGGAAUUCCCAGUGUAGCGGUGAAAUGCGUAGAUAUUGGGAGGAACAUCGGUGGCGAAGGCGGCUACCUGGACGGGUACUGACGCUGAGGCGCGAAAGCUAGGGGAGCAAACAGG